UCAGGUGGUUCUUGCGGCAGGGCCCCACCUCUUCCCAUUCCGAACAGAGAAGUUAAGCCUGCCUGCGCCGAUGGUACUGCAAUGCAAUGCGGGAGAGUAGGUCGCCGCCUUCU
This 113-nucleotide ribosomal RNA is filed under the name Segatella baroniae. RNAcentral also lists the same sequence under 1 other name. Lineage: Bacteria; Pseudomonadati; Bacteroidota; Bacteroidia; Bacteroidales; Prevotellaceae. The record is from RNAcentral.